GCGGUGCUGGCGGCGUGCUAAUACAUGCAAGUCGAGCGAAUGGAUUAAGAGCUUGCUCUUAUGAAGUUAGCGGCGGACGGGUGAGUAACACGUGGGUAACCUGCCCAUAAGACUGGGAUAACUCCGGGAAACCGGGGCUAAUACCGGAUAACAUUUUGAACCGCAUGGUUCGAAAUUGAAAGGCGGCUUCGGCUGUCACUUAUGGAUGGACCCGCGUCGCAUUAGCUAGUUGGUGAGGUAACGGCUCACCAAGGCAACGAUGCGUAGCCGACCUGAGAGGGUGAUCGGCCACACUGGGACUGAGACACGGCCCAGACUCCUACGGGAGGCAGCAGUAGGGAAUCUUCCGCAAUGGACGAAAGUCUGACGGAGCAACGCCGCGUGAGUGAUGAAGGCUUUCGGGUCGUAAAACUCUGUUGUUAGGGAAGAACAAGUGCUAGUUGAAUAAGCUGGCACCUUGACGGUACCUAACCAGAAAGCCACGGCUAACUACGUGCCAGCAGCCGCGGUAAUACGUAGGUGGCAAGCGUUAUCCGGAAUUAUUGGGCGUAAAGCGCGCGCAGGUGGUUUCUUAAGUCUGAUGUGAAAGCCCACGGCUCAACCGUGGAGGGUCAUUGGAAACUGGGAGACUUGAGUGCAGAAGAGGAAAGUGGAAUUCCAUGUGUAGCGGUGAAAUGCGUAGAGAUAUGGAGGAACACCAGUGGCGAAGGCGACUUUCUGGUCUGUAACUGACACUGAAGGCGCGAAAGCGUGGGGAGCA
RNAcentral lists this ribosomal RNA (760 nucleotides) under Bacillus sp. S512Ba-25. RNAcentral describes it as "bacterial SSU rRNA". It matches the Rfam family "Bacterial small subunit ribosomal RNA", at positions 30 to 770 of the family's 1533-position model. Lineage: Bacteria; Bacillati; Bacillota; Bacilli; Caryophanales; Bacillaceae. The record is from RNAcentral.